CUUCCUGUUCCGGUUGCCGCGGAGAUUCGGUUGCCUAGUAAGAGGGGAGGUUUCGGCUUUCGCUUACUGUAGAUGGUGGGUCCCCUGGAAAGAACGUAUCGCUGUCACAAGCUUCUAAGAUGUUUCCAUCCCGGCCUGCUGCGGGCAGUCCCUGUCAUGCUAUGUUGUCCCCGACACAUUAUAAAUCUUAAAUUCUUUUAUCAACAAGACUAAGAACCUGCAAAAGGGAACCCUGAUACCUAGUAAUAUGUCUUGCUCAAUUCUUUGGGAUACAAUCUGGAUGUCACAUGAAGGACAACUCAAGACCCCCGUCCAGUUAUAUCAGCCUUUUAUUAUAGUUACUGACUUUUGCACAGAGUAUCGUGAUGAAAACCCAGAAAGUGGUAUUUGAAACGAAGACAUUGACAUUAUUUAAGUAAUAGUAGCACACGAUAACGUAUUAUCAGUUCUGGAUUUUUCUUUUGAGUGGGAGGGGAGGUUGAGAUAGCCCAGGUCUAUAGCCCUAGAACUGGCCUCAAACUCACAGAGAUCCGCCUGCCUCUGCCUCCCAAGUGCUGGGAUUAAAGGCAUGCACUGCCACUGCCCGGCUUCUUUGGCCUUUUUAUACCUUCUUAGACGAAAGUUCCUAGAAAAUUAUCUCAGAAAGAAAUGUUACAUAAAAUGGGAGUUACAGAAGGCUGUUGAUAUUAAGUUCAAAGCAGUGUUUCAUUCUAUAUGCUCAUUAUACAUUUAAAGCAACAGUUUCACACAGCCUUGCCUUAUCAUAGUGCACACCUGUAGCUUUAUCCAUGGACCUAAAUAUUUUUCCUUGAACAUAAAUUUGUUCAAGACUAUUCCUCUUUUUAGUGUAAUUAUGAAUGCUCACUGUAUUCCUUAUUAUAUAGACUUUACUUGCUAUUAUGAGGAAUUGGCACAUUCUAGUCGAUUCUAACUUUAUUACAUCUUUCUAGCAAAGCAACUAAGUCCAUUUCUAAAAACUUUCUUGAAUUAAUCAAAUCAAGAAUUCUAUAAAAUCAUUCAUCUAAACAGCAUUAAUUCACGAAAGUUCAUCUUUGUGUUGAUCUGCAGAAAAUCUGGUCAAUAGGGUGAGGUAAUGCCCAGGAAUAAUUAUAUUAAUAAUGACAGGAAAGGCAUAUCAGCUGCACAAAGCAGUCCUCUGGUGAAGUCCCUUUGGGAUCCAUACCUCACAGAGCUCACCCACCGCAGACGUGCAGAAGCAGCAGGCCACCUCCAGGAAGGCAACCUUAGCCUAUCCUAGGUGGCUCCUGACACCCAACCCUACAGCUCAUUUUGCAGACAAAGGCCAAGAGGUGCCCUAGUUCGUGUCCAUAAAAAAAUGACCAGAAAGCUAGAAGGUCCACCUAUGCAGUGGUAAGACUUCCUAACAUUUUAAAGAGCAUACAUUUUUUCUUUUUUUUUUUUUUUUUUGGAACUGGACUAUUUGAAAUAGUAACACAGUUACUAUUCUGUUGCCGUGAUAAAAUACCAUGACCAGGUCAUCUUAUUUGUGGGAGGAGGUAUUUGGGCUUACAGUUCCAUAGGGAUAAAAAUCCACCCUGGUGGAGAAGCAUGGUACCAAGCGGCAGCAAGAAGCUGCGAUCUCACACCCUCAGCUACAAGCAUGAGUCAAGAGAGCGAGUCGGAAGCCUGCGAUACCUCCAGUGAUACACUCCUACCAGCAAGGCUAGUCCGCGUAAACCUCACCAGCAGCACAGCCGACUGGGACGAAGUAUUCAAACGCCUGAGACUAUCGGAGACGCUCCUCAAUUGCAGCACAGUACCCAUAAGUACUGUACAGUGUGUCUAUGCAGGAGGCAAUUUUCUCCUGUUAGUUUCUUUUAAUAAACAAAGCCUUGGAUUCUCCUGCAUCAACAGGUACAAAUAUGCUAGACAAGCAGAACACACAGGUAUUUUCAUUUAUAACUUACAUCCAAAAUGUACAUAGUAAGUUCAUUGCUUAGGAGAGCAACCCAAGCCUCUUUCCAAGCCAUGCAUAGCAGCUUAUAUGUGCACUCUUCCUGCAGGAAGAAGAUGGGGACUAUUAGCUACAUCUCUGUGGAGCUCGUUUCGUUUACAUAUGUAUGUUACUUCCAAUUUUGCAUUUUCAGUGACAAAACUGCCAAAUCCAGAACAGUUGUCCUAUGAAAGGUGCAUUGAACCAUCUUGAAGCUAUAAUGCCAUUUCGCCAGCAGAUGGCGCUUCAUAGGUUAGGGUAGGGAUGCGGUGGGAGGGGAGUUUUUAAACCUGCUCUGAAAAUAUAAAAUGCAUUUAAUGGAAGGGAAAAUGAUAAUUAUAAUCUCAAAAAUUUUUAAAAACAUAUGUUUAAAACAUGCAAUUAGUGUUAAAGAUAAAGUACAACCAUUAUUUGUAACAAGUCACUACAAAUAAAGCAAAUAAAAGAUAAAACCUAGGUCGUAAAAAAAUGUAAGCAGUUCAUAUGAAUGAAUAAACAAUUAAAC
This 2459-nucleotide long non-coding RNA is filed under the name Mus caroli (Ryukyu mouse). Its description in RNAcentral is "lncRNA (MGP_CAROLIEiJ_G0005911.1)". The record is from RNAcentral. Lineage: Eukaryota; Metazoa; Chordata; Mammalia; Rodentia; Muridae.